This 73-nucleotide transfer RNA is filed under the name Johnevansia muelleri (SeqCode). Its description in RNAcentral is "Candidatus Johnevansia muelleri tRNA-Thr (TGT) (tRNA-Thr-TGT-1-1)". It matches the Rfam family "tRNA". Rfam says of the family: Transfer RNA (tRNA) molecules are approximately 80 nucleotides in length. Their secondary structure includes four short double-helical elements and three loops (D, anti-codon, and T loops). Further hydrogen bonds mediate the characteristic L-shaped molecular structure. tRNAs have two regions of fundamental functional importance: the anti-codon, which is responsible for specific mRNA codon recognition, and the 3' end, to which the tRNAs corresponding amino acid is attached (by aminoacyl-tRNA synthetases). tRNAs cope with the degeneracy of the genetic code in two manners: having more than one tRNA (with a specific anti-codon) for a particular amino acid; and 'wobble' base-pairing, i.e. permitting non-standard base-pairing at the 3rd anti-codon position. Lineage: Bacteria; Pseudomonadati; Pseudomonadota; Gammaproteobacteria; Johnevansiales (SeqCode); Johnevansiaceae (SeqCode). The record is from Rfam by way of RNAcentral.
GCCAAUAUAGCUCAAUAGGUAGAGCAACUGAUUUGUAAUCAGUAGGUUCCAGGUUCGAAUCCUGGUAUUGGCA